CUGGCGGCGCGCUUACACAUGCAAGUUCGCACGAGAAAGGGAGCAAUCCCAAGUUAAAGUGGCGCACGGGUGAGUAACACGUGGAUCAUCCACCUUCUUGUGGGGAAUAACCUGGGGAAACCCGAGCUAAUACCGCAUAAGCCCGAGAGGGGAAAGCAGCAAUGCGCAGGAAGAGGAGUCCGCGGUCGAUUAGCUAGUUGGUAGGGUAAAGGCCUACCAAGGCUAUGAUCGAUAGCCGGCCUGAGAGGGCACACGGCCACACUGGCACUGAAACACGGGCCAGACUCCUACGGGAGGCAGCAGUGGGGAAUCUUGCACAAUGGGGGAAACCCUGAUGCAGCGACGCCGCGUGGGUGAUGAAGUCCUUCGGGAUGUAAAGCCCUUUCGACGGGAACGAUAAUGACGGUACCCGGAGAAGAAGCUGCGGCUAACUACGUGCCAGCAGCCGCGGUAAUACGUAGGCAGCAAGCGUUGUUCGGAGUUACUGGGCGUAAAGAGUAUGUAGGCGGUUGGGUAAGUUUGGUGUGAAAUCUCCCGGCUUAACUGGGAGGGUGCGCUAAAGACUGCCUGGCUUGAGUGUGGGAGAGGAAAGCGGAAUUCCUGGUGUAGCGGUGAAAUGCGUAGAUAUCAGGAGGAACACCUGCGGUGUAGACGGCUUUCUGGACCAUAACUGACGCUGAGAUACGAAAGCGUGGGUAGCAAACAGGAUUAGAUACCCUGGUAGUCCACGCCCUAAACGAUGCAUACUUGGUGUUGGCCAUUCACUUGGUCAGUGCCGGAGCUA
This 784-nucleotide ribosomal RNA is filed under the name uncultured bacterium. RNAcentral's name for it is "bacterial SSU rRNA". It matches the Rfam family "Bacterial small subunit ribosomal RNA", at positions 36 to 854 of the family's 1533-position model. The record is from RNAcentral.